GGUGGCCCCAUCGGUCCCCCCGCAUUGAUUACCCGUUAACCUGGUCAGGCCCGGAAGGGAGCAGCCAUAGCGGGAACAUCGAGUGCCGGGGUGUGGCUGGUGGGGCCGCCUCCAUU
RNAcentral lists this signal recognition particle RNA (116 nucleotides) under Pseudomonas putida GB-1. The stretch from base 9 to 105 matches the Rfam family "Bacterial small signal recognition particle RNA". Rfam says of the family: The signal recognition particle (SRP) is a universally conserved ribonucleoprotein involved in the co-translational targeting of proteins to membranes. Archaeal SRP consists of a 7S RNA and homologues of the eukaryotic SRP19 and SRP54 proteins. In most bacteria, the SRP consists of a 4.5S RNA and the Ffh protein (a homologue of the eukaryotic SRP54 protein). RNAcentral also lists the same sequence under 4 other names. Lineage: Bacteria; Pseudomonadati; Pseudomonadota; Gammaproteobacteria; Pseudomonadales; Pseudomonadaceae. The record is from RNAcentral.